Molecule: long non-coding RNA, 377 nt
Filed under: Selaginella moellendorffii
Lineage: Eukaryota; Viridiplantae; Streptophyta; Lycopodiopsida; Selaginellales; Selaginellaceae
Description: long non-coding RNA (SMOE_LNC000739)
Source: RNAcentral
CUAAACUUUCGUCUUCUUUCCAUUCAAAACUUACCAAAGCAUUCUUAACCUUUGGUCGACAUGGCUCCUUCAGCCUGCCUAGUUCCCAAGUGCCCAAGUUUCCUCCUUAGCUCCUCCCUCGCCAUCCCUCACCACGAUCUGUCCACCAGCUCCAUCCCCUGCUCACGAUUGGCCACCCCAGCACCUGCCUGCUCAUGCUCUCCCGGAUCGAAUCCACCUGAAAUGGCUCAGGAAUCUGCUCAGGAAUGCACCCAUAAGUGUUGGAGAAGUUCCCGCAACAAGCCAUUGCUCAAAAAAGAAUUGCAAAGGCAAGAAAGACCAACUCACACGCACCCGACCACUUGGCCCUGUGCAGGAUUGCGACUGGUAUCACGAAG